RNAcentral lists this long non-coding RNA (3143 nucleotides) under Sus scrofa (pig). RNAcentral's name for it is "lncRNA (ENSSSCG00000057782.1)". The record is from RNAcentral. Lineage: Eukaryota; Metazoa; Chordata; Mammalia; Artiodactyla; Suidae.
GGUGCUGAACAACGUGUUUCCUUUUUGGGUGGGCCACAGUAAUGAUAAUUUCUAAUACACUAUCUUAAAGUUCUUUGUAAUUCUAUUUAAUUACGAGAGCUACAAAACCAGCCAUCCUACUGUAUCCACUGUAGAACCCAGCGCUGUGAUGGCACACCCUAGGUACUCAGCCAGUGCUCACGGAUCUAAAUUGCAUUGGUACCAGAAGGAUGCUCAUUGAUGUACCCUGGUCUAGGCUGAAAAUUGAUGUGCUUCAAGGAGGGUGAUGCUAGGCUACACCUUGGACCAGAGCCUCAGGGAGUUGCUGUGUUGCUACAGCCAGUGAAUUGAAUACAACGGGGGUGUGCAGUGGGUGCAUGUGGCAGGGAUUUCAUUACUUUUUCGCAACACACCUUACCACAUUUCUAGUCUGUCCAGCUUCUGGAAGGAUGAAUAAUUAAAGAGAAAUGGUACGUGUCCAAAUCAGCAAUGUCCGUGCACACAGAGUUGAACAGUGAAGCAGUCUGGAAUUUUUACUCUGGUUUUAGAUAUUUUUUUUUUUCCUUCUCAUUCUUUAGUUACUCCUCCUAGCUGAGCAAAAUUAUUUGCUGCAAGCCCAGAAGUAAAUCAAGCCAUUUCUAUCCAGCAUCAAAACCUUUUUGUACCUUAAAGCAUACCCCCCCCGCCCCAUAUUAUGUAUGUAGUGUUUAUAUAUGACCUGUUUUCUGAAUAAUCUCAAAGUCAGGAUCUUGUUUUAGUGGAAGGCAGGGGGAGCUAUAAAAUGUGACUAAACUCACAUGGAAUUAGCUGAGGAAUCCACUGUAUCCAUUAUUCCAGCUCAAGCAGGGUUGCUCUGUGGUUCAGUCACCAUAAAAAGACCCACUGAUAGCAACUCUGUUCAUGGCAGUGUCACUUUACAUGGCAAUAAUAAUAACAUACAAUCACUCGUGCCAACCCAAAACAAAACAUUCGUGGUAUAAGAUAACAUCAGAUUGUAUCAGUGUGAAAAUCCAGCCUAAUAUUACUUGCUUGGACCCAAAUGUCAUUCAGCCACCUUGCUUUAAGACAUUAAUGCCAUUUUCUGUGGGUGGAAGGACAAAGCUUAAAUUUUCUUUUGUGUUUCAGGGGUUUGUUGGAGCAACACUGGCCAGCGAGGCUCCAGGUGGACCAGAGAACUGGAUGUUUUGAAAGGACUCUAUGGAUGUGUUAGAAAAAGAAACUCUUGCCCUCCGCAUUUUUUAAGUAACUCAAAGUAAAUUAAAAAACAACUACUGCUAUAUUAAGCAAUGCCUACGUUUCCCAGGAUAUCCAGAUUUUGAGCAUAUAAUUCAAUUUCAUAAGCAUCCGUUAUGUACAAAGGCAUGGUACUAGACAUUCAUAAUCAUGCAGAGAUAAAAUUACCACAUAGGAGGGGGAGAGCAUGUAUACAAAAUACUACAAAACAGGACAAAAUGCUGGGAGAAGAGACGAAAAAUGCUUUGCUAUAGGAUUCUGAGUAGUGUGGCAGAAUGCCCAGUCGGGGAAAGGAGAAAAGAUUCAACCGACCAUUGAUCAUUUGAUCUUUGCCGGCAUCAAUACUGAAUAUCAAGAUUUAGUAAAUGAAUGAAUCAGUGAUGUGUUUUGUCAGUUAAACCAGGAGUGAUCAGGAUAGUUUUUAAUCUAUGGAAAGGGAGAGAAGAGGACAUUCCAGAUGGAGGAAAAAAUAUAGGCAAUGGAACAGCAGCAAGAAAAUUCAUUGUAAUACUGGGGGAAACAUGGUUUUGUAUGAUUGGAAGAGGUUUCGUAGAGCAGGAGUGGCUAGGUCCACAGAAGUCAUUUUUGGUCUACAAAGUUGAGAUGAGAAACUUAAGUUUGAUUCAGGGAAAACUAUAAAAAUUGGCAAAUGAUGCAAUUUGAGUAGGGCUUAUUCUUAUAGUGAAGCACAUGAUUUUGGGCCAGAGAGACUUGGAUAUUAGUUCCAUCAGUUAUAAACUGAAUUAUUCUGUGAAUGUUAAUUAAUCUCCCUAAGUCUCAGGUUCCUCAUUAGUAAAGUGGAGAGGAGUCCACCCUGAAUGUACAAAUCCAAGGACCUGAAGAACACUAACUCCAGAAUAAGGCUACCUUAAUGGAGAGAGGGUUGGAAUGGGUCUGGGGAAGAAGAUCCAAAGAGAAUUUUAACUUUUUCUUAAGCAAAUAUGGUAAAAGGUUAGCGCUAUCAAUUCUAGGUGCUGAAAACAUUAAUAUUAUUUUCAAGCAUUCUAAAUGUUUGAAAUAUUUCACAAAUAAAUAAGCCCAACUUACAGUCUUGUGGUUGCUGGACAUAAUAUUUAUGAAGUGUGUGACACAGACCUUGGCAUAUAGCAAGAUUUCAUAAGUGAAAGCUAUUUCUUUGUUGUUUUUGCAAAUACAAUGAGGUCAGUGGAAUAGAAAAUAUAGAGUGAAAGAGAAAUGGCAGGAUAAAAUCAUGGGGCAUGCAGGACUUCCACUUGGAUGGAAGAACAGGGACCAAAUUUGUCUCCCCACUUGAACAACUGGAGAAAUGGGCAAAUACAAGAAACAAAGUUUUUUCAAGUCAGUGGACACGAGACAAUGAAUGGCAGUGUUCUCAGAAAGAUGGGAAACAAAUGAAGUGAGUCUUGUGACUGCCCCAGGUUAUUGCUUGGAGAGAGCUUCUAGGAUAUGGAGUAGGAAAGGAAAAAGAAAUCAGGGGAAUCCUAGUUGUCUUCCUGAAUUGAGGAGACAAAACUGGGGCUACUGGGAGGUCAAUGUCCCAAGCCCCUGGAGUUGCAUGGUUUGCAUGGGAGAAUACAUGAGAAUAGAGGACUCUGGGCGGGUUGUGGAGGAUAUCUCAUACAUAGUCAACUGAGUAACCAUCAGAACCUGCAUGUAAGGAAACUCUGCAAGGCUGGAAAAAGAACCAUUCAUGAGGAUAAGAGGCCUUAAGAACUUACACAGGAGUUCCCAUCGUGAUGCAGCGGAAACAAAUCCUACCAGGAAGCAUGAGGUUGCGGGUUCGAUCCCUGGCCUCGCUCAGGGGGUUGAGGCUCUGGUGUUGCUGUGAGCUGUGGUGUAGAUCACAGAUGUGGCUGGGAUCUGGCGUUGCUGUGGCUCUGGUGUAGGCUGGCAGCAACAGCUCGGAUUAGACCCCUACCUGGGAACCUCCAUAUGCUGUGGGUGCGGCCCUG